UGUCGGAUUUGUUCCACUCGAUCGUA
This 26-nucleotide small RNA is filed under the name Bombyx mori (domestic silkworm). RNAcentral describes it as "ovarian small RNA-35734". Lineage: Eukaryota; Metazoa; Arthropoda; Insecta; Lepidoptera; Bombycidae. The record is from RNAcentral.